Molecule: non-coding RNA, 107 nt
Organism: Acanthosepion pharaonis
Lineage: Eukaryota; Metazoa; Mollusca; Cephalopoda; Sepiida; Sepiidae
Source: the annotation of a GenBank genome assembly
AUACGGCCAGAUCACGUUGAAAACACCGAUUUCCGUACGAUUACCGAAGUUACGCAACGUCGAACCUGGUCAGUACCUAGAUGGGUAACAGCUUGGGAAUACCACCU